Molecule: ribosomal RNA, 427 nt
Filed under: uncultured bacterium
Lineage: Bacteria
Description: partial 16S ribosomal RNA
Rfam family: Bacterial small subunit ribosomal RNA
Source: RNAcentral
UAGGGAAUCUUCGGCAAUGGGGGGAACCCUGACCGAGCAACGCCGCGUGAGUGAAGAAGGUUUUCGGAUCGUAACGCUCUGUUGUAAGAGAAGAACGGGUGUGAGAGUGGAAAGUUCACACUGUGACGGUAUCUUACCAGAAAGGGACGGCUAACUACGUGCCAGCAGCCGCGGUAAUACGUAGGUCCCGAGCGUUGUCCGGAUUUAUUGGGCGUAAAUCGAGCGCAGGCGGUUAGAUAAGUCUGAAGUUAAAGGCUGUGGCUUAACCAUAGUAUGCUUUGGAAACUGUUUAACUUGAGUGCAGAAGGGGAGAGUGGAAUUCCAUGUGUAGCGGUGAAAUGCGUAGAUAUAUGGAGGAACACCGGUGGCGAAAGCGGCUCUCUGGUCUGUAACUGACGCUGAGGCUCGAAAGCGUGGGGAGCAAACA